AAAGGGAGGAGGACCACAAGGCUCAGGGACUGAAAAGCAGGGUAAGCGGCCGCAGCCAUGAUGGAUCGACCCGAGUCGCCAACGAGAUGGAUCUUACGGCAGCUUUAGAGGCAGAAGUUGUGGGCAUGCUGAACUCAACAUUCACGUGACUGGCAAAUCUGGAAGGCACUUCCCGGUCAGAGCCAAGUUCAAGGUGGCAGAAGAAACAGUGUGGGUGACCAGAAGCUAUGAAAGGAAAAGAAUUUAGACAUUAGGUUCUUUGAGGAUGACAUGGAAGAAGAGGCCAAAAGAGCCACUCAAUAGCAAAGGAGGCUCAGCACCAGGCAGUCUUUCCGAGGGUCCAAUGCUGAGCGGAGGACUUACAACAGAAAUCACACUGCCUGUGCCUCAGACCCUUCUGAUUACAGUAGCCUUGUAUCCUAGCAAUAAAACCCACAGCCUGAAAAACCCACUCA
Herpailurus yagouaroundi (jaguarundi) is the source of this 455-nucleotide long non-coding RNA. RefSeq lists it as uncharacterized. The record is from RefSeq and is a predicted model, not a curated record. The transcript is spliced from 2 exons. NCBI's taxonomy places the organism in Eukaryota, Metazoa, Chordata, Mammalia, Carnivora, Felidae.